UGCACUGCAAACAAGAUGGGGAAGAAGG
This 28-nucleotide non-coding RNA is filed under the name Homo sapiens (human). Lineage: Eukaryota; Metazoa; Chordata; Mammalia; Primates; Hominidae. The record is from RNAcentral.